RNAcentral lists this long non-coding RNA (8556 nucleotides) under Physcomitrium patens. RNAcentral describes it as "long non-coding RNA (PPAT_LNC002839)". Lineage: Eukaryota; Viridiplantae; Streptophyta; Bryopsida; Funariales; Funariaceae. The record is from RNAcentral.
AUUUUUGGUUUUAUUAGUAAAAGACUAGAUUUUCUAUAUGCAAGUAAAAUUUAGAAGCAAUUUAAUAGUGGAAAAGGGAGAUAUCAGCACUUGAAGUUGGCAUCAAGAUUGGAGAAGGAGAGACCAGCCGACAUUUGAGUGGAAUUUUGAGGUCAUCAACUAAUUGGUAAGUGCAAUUUUCUUCAAAAUUUGUGUGCUAGUUUUUAACUUAAACUCCAAGAAGUAUGAAAAUUCCAAAUAAGAAUCAAUGAUUCAAUCUUUAGUUAUUUAAAUUUCAAAUCUAUGAUUAGGAUUUAGUUUGGGUUAGGAUUUGAUUACGGUUUAGAGUUAGGAUUUAUUAGGGUUAGGAUAUGGUUUAGAAUUUGUUAGGAUUAGGAUAUGAUUUAGGAUUUGAUUUAGGAUUUAGGGUUUAGGAUUUGGAGUUUAGUUUAGGAUUUGAUUUAGGAUUUAGGGUUUGGAUUAGAAUUUGGAUUUGGGUUUAGGAUUUGAUUUAGGAUUUGAUUUAGGAUUUAGGGUUUGGAUUAGGAUUUAGAUUAGGAUUUAAGAUUUGAUUUAGGAUUUAAUUAGGAAUUAGUUUAAGGUUUAAGAUUUGAUUAGGAUUUAGAAUAGGAUUUAGGAUUUGUCUAGGGUUUGAUUAAAGUUGGAUUAGGAUUAGGGAUUGGUUAGAAUUUAAGAUUUUAUUAGAUUUUUGUUAAGGUUUGACUAAGUUUUUUUUAAUAUUCUUUUAUAUUUCUUGAGGAUUUCUUUGUGUUUCUUUUAUAACUUCAAUAACAUUUAAUUGAGCUUGCUUAAUGUUUGAUUAUGAUUGUUAACAUUUAAUUUUAAAUUUUUUAUAAUCCUAUUGGAUUGUUAGGACAUUUUGUUGCAAUUUUCUUUUAUCUUCCACAGCCAGGUGCUUGGUGCAUUCUCAAGCAAGACUUCAGGUGAUACAACAUAUUUGGAGAACCCGACAUGAAAAACUUGAAGUGGAAGGUAUUUGGAGUUUCUUUGAUCUAUUUGGGUUAUGGAAAAGGAAGGCAAGAGAAUGGGCAGAGGAGCUUUUGGUGGUGCUUCAAGUAGAAUUGGAAGUGGAGCUUCAAUUGAAAGAUAAGGUAUGUAUUUUGAUCUCAACUCUGCAAGCAUGUUUGAGGCAUUGGCCUUAUUCAUGCAACAACAACAGGUUAAAGAUCACAAAGAAGGCAUGGUAGACAAAGCGUUACAAGCUGUUGUAGACAAGAUUGAUCAAUUUGAAGGAAAGUAUAUUACAAAAUAUUUAAAGUAUUAUGUAAAAGAAAUGGAAUUGAAGCAUGUUUCAGAGAAGGAGAUGGUUCAGCUAUUUAAAUUGGCUAUUGCAGCAGAAAUUAGAAAUCAUGUGAAGUCCAUUAUAGAACAUUCUAGAGGUUCAUGGGAAAAACUAUCUCAAGUAUUAAAGGAUGAGUAUUUUUUAGAAGAUAGUGACUGAGUUACAAAGAAGUUGUUUUUUGAAUAGAUUGAAAGGCCUAGGAAGGAUCUACUAGCAACGGAGUUACUAAGGGAGUUUGAAAAGCAAUAUUCUUGUUUAUCAAAGAAAGAGAGGCAAUUAUUAGAUCCAAGUAAAGUGGAGCUUUUUCUUCAAGCGACUAAUGGAGAGUUGCAAGAAAAGUUGGAAAUUUUGCUGAAAGAUAAAGAAGAAGUUGAAGGAUUGAUAACAAAUUGAGAGAAAGUAGAAGAGGCAAUUGGAGUGCUUGCAAAAAGAGAAAAGAGAAAAGAUAGGAUAAAAAUUCAAAGACCAUUGCAAGUAUCUAAAGAAAAAAUGCCUGCUAUCUAUCCUACAUCUACGAUUCAACCUUCAAUGGCUACAUCAAAGAGAGAAGAAAUGGGCAUUGAUGAAAUCAUAUGAGGGAUGAGAGAUUUGCAAAUAAAAUUUGUAAAACUUGAAGAGAUAGGUCAAUCAUCAAGAAUAUCAACAAGACAAAAUUUAAGACCAAUAGAAGGUAUAGUGCAUAUGCGCAUGUGGUGUGAUAGCAUAGAUCAUUCAAGAAAGAAGUGUGAGGAUUUUUCAGAGGCGCUACGCAAACGAGUUGUUUUUUUUAAAGAUGGUAUGAUACACUUAAAAGAGAGUAGAGAAAAAUUAGAGACAAAUUUUGGUAAAGGAAGAAUGAAGGUGUUUGUAGGAGAUGCUUUCAAGGUGCAUACAACUUCAAGCAAUGAAGCAUCAAUAUUUUGGAUGGAGGCAAAUCCAAGAAAAUGCUUAAGUAUAAAUCAUGAGUAUCCAGGAGAAUCUAGUUCUUUAUGGUCAAGUGCAAUGAAUUAUGCUGAAAAGAAAAUUUUUAUUGGAGAUGAUCUAAAAUAUGUUGGCAAUAACAUUCAGCAAAUUACUGGGUGGGAUGAUCCAGUAGAUAGAUUAUGAGUUCAUGCUCAUAUUGUAAGGAGUCAACAUGAAGCAUUAAUAGAAGAAAAAUGAAGGAGAGACAAAAAUCAUGAAGGGCCAUCAAAAAGAAUCACAAGGAGAGAUAAAACUCGACAACAGAAGAAUCCUAUGCAUGAAGAGACAAUAGAGAAUAUUUCUACAAAAGUGAGGGAGAUUGUGAAAGAACUUGUAAAGGUUCCUGCUUAUAAAUUACAAUUAGAUAUUGAAGCUGCUACAGAUUUGAAGAAAGUAUUGGAAGAGCAAAUUUUAAGUGGAAAGGUUGAAUUUACAAUUGGUGAAAUUCUAGGAAUUGCAAAAUGAGAAUUUCAUGAAGUUAUUAUUGACACAAUAAAAAAAAAAAAUAGCAAUCUAUUGGUGAUAUUAUGACAUCAAAUGUACAAGGUACAAAGGCAAUAGGAAACAAUGCAGAUGAAGAAAUUGAAAUACAAAUUGUUGGAGAUAUUUUACGAGUCAAAUUUCCAGGAAAAAAAGAUAUGAUUCAAACUUCUAGUCAUUAUUCUCGGAGUCAUUGGGCAAGGGCUACUAUGAAAACUUUAAUAAAAUUGGAAGAUUUAGAAAAACCAAUUGUAGCAUUGAUUGAUUAUGGUUCUGAAAUAAAUUUAAUGUCAACAUAAUUAUAUAAAAGAAGAAAUUGGCCUAUUAAUAUUGAGCAUGGGUGGAUGAUAAGAGUAGUAAAUAAUUCAAAAGAGGAUUUGUAUGGAGCUUGUCUAAAUAUCAAGGUAACAAUAGGAGAUGUUAUUCAUGAACAAAAUUUCUUUGUGCAAGAUAUGUCUACAUAUCCUAUUAUAUUAGGACAACCAUAUAUUACUGCCACAUGAAUGGAGACAAAGGUUAUAGAUGAUGGAUCAGCUUAUGCAAGGAUAAGAAGUCAAGACAGAAAGAAGGCACUGUAAUUUUUAACAGUUUGUGCAAAUCAUGGAAGAAAUAGGGAUAGUUUGAGGGAACAUCCUUUGUCAAAGAUACAUAAAGAAUUUAAAGAUCUUGAAGAUUCAAAGGAUUUUUACUAGAUGCCAUUGUAAAGCGUGAUUGCAAUGGUAAAAAGAGUGAAGGCUUUUCACCUAAUAGAAAGGAUGAAGAUAUUGUAGGAUUAUCGCGAGACGGAUAUAUUUUAUUCAAAAACAUAAAUAAUUUUAAUAGGAUAGAUAAGAAAAAUGUUAAGAAUGUAGAACAAGGAUUAAAGAAAUGUGGAAUGAUUGAUGAAGAUGAAUACAUAUCAAGGAUGUUUAAAGAAUCUUAUUUUGGUGAUACUAUGAAUGAUUUAUAAAUAUUAUUGAAUGGAGAUUUUGAAAGAGGUGAUAAAGUAAUAAAUGUCCAUUCUAAGUAAUUUUAUGAUGGAAUAAAAGAAUAUAUAGAUAGGUAUGAAGUGAAGGUGAACACAAAAUAUAAGACUGUUGCAAGGAAGGUUAAACCAGUGGCAUUGCCACUACCAUCGGAUUUUGAAGAAAGGAUUAAAGAAGCUUCUAUGCAACCUAACUUAAGAGAUCUAAGGAAAAUAGGUCAUGAAUUCAAGGAUAAUUUGACGUUAGAUGGUUUGAAAAUUGAAUGUGAUAAAUUUUUGACAAGAGAUGAGGAGAGAUGUUUUAAAGAAAUGCUUUCAUGAUAUGAUAAAGUAUUUGCAUUUGAAUCACAUGAAAUAGGGUACAUUGAUUCGAGUAUUAUAGUACCUGUAGUUAUUUUUAUAAUUCUGCAUGAACCAUGGAAUUUGAGGCCAAUUCCAGUUCCAAAGGCCCAUUUGCCAAAGCUAGUUGAAUUACUCAAUAAAAAAAUUAAGAUGAAAAUUUUAGAACCAUCUAUUGCACCAUAUUUCAAUCGGUGGUUCACAGUACCUAAGAAAAAUAGAACAUUGAGGUAUAUUUAAGAUAUGCAACUGGUAAAUAAAAUAAGUAUUAGAAACAUGGGCUCGAGUCCAAUUGAAGAUGAGUUUGUAGAGGUAUUUGCAAAGAGAUCAAUUUAUUCUAUAAAAGAUCUUUAUUCACGAUACGAUCAAUUUCAAUUGGUAAUGCAAAGUAAAAAUUUGACAACUAUGAAGACACCAUUGAGAUUGGUCAGAAUGCGUACAUUACCACAAGGGGCUACAAAUUCUUUGGAACAUAUGAUGAAUCGAAUGCAUAAGGUACUAAGAGAUUUUAUUCAAAGAAUAACAAUGUCUUUUCUAGAUGAUGUGCCAAUUAAGGGAUGUGAAGAAAAAAAAAAGAAUGAAACAUUGGAUUCAAAAGAAUGUAGGAAGUUUGUGGCAGAUCAUAUUGAUGAUUGCGAGAAGAUAAAGACAAGGCUAGAAGAAGUUCAUUUAACCUUAUCGGGGACAAAAUCAAUAUUUGGAGCAAAAGAAGUUUUGAUAGUAGAGCACAUGUGUGGUUCAUAUGGACGCAAACUAAGUAGGAAAAAAAUUGAUAUUAUAAAAAAAAUGAAAGAGUAUACAAAUAUGACAGAAGUCAAGAGGUUUUUAGGAGUAUGUAUUUUCUAUCAUAUAUAGAUACCUCAUUUUAUACAUAUAGUAGAUCCAUUAUAUGAGUUGUUAUGAAAGAAUCAAAAAUUUUAAUGGAAAGAAGAAUAAAGAAAAACUAUAGCAAAGUUAAAAGAAUUUCUUUCUUCACCUCCAAUUUUGAAGAAAGUAAAUUAUGAAUGUAGAAGGCAUGUAAUAUUAAUAGUUGACGCAAGUCCAAUUGGAAUAGGUUGGGCAAUUGGACAACAUGAUGAACAAGGGAAUAGAUAUGUAAUAAGGUUUGGAGCAAAGGUUUUGAAUGCUAGACAAAGGAUAUAUGCACAAAUCAAAAGAGAAUUAUGAGGUGUAGUAAUAGCUAUGAAAAAUAAAAGGGAUUAUUUAAUUGAUACAUCAGUAGUUGUAGAAACAGAUUGUCUAUCUUUAUUGGGUAUGAUUAUAAGUUGUUCAACUCCCAAUAUUGCUAUAUUAAGGUGGAUGGCAUAUAUCAAAUCUAUAAAUUUAAAAUUUAAAUAUAUUAUAAGAAAAGAAAAUUCAGUCGCAGAUAUGUUAUCAAGAGCAAGGUAUUACGAUGAAGAAGAUAUAAUAGAUUUAGAAGAUGAUGUAGGUACAAAUUUUUAUACUAAUGCAUUAUCAAAGGAAGAAAGUAUAUAUUUGAAUAUACCAUUAGAAAUAUUUUCAAGAGAUCUAUAUGAAGAAGAAUGGAAAGACAUUGAGGAGUAUUUAAGUACAUUAAAGCGACAGGAUGGUUGGACAGAUCAAGAAUUUAAGAAAAUCUGAAAGAAAGCCUAUAGAUAUUUUUUACGCAAUGGAUAUUUAUGGAAGCAUCCAAAGAAGAGAGGAGAAGUAUCACAAUGAGUGAUAUGUGGUUUAAAAGCUCAAAAAAAGAUUAUUAAGGAAUUUCAUGAAAAUUUAUGGGUAGGGCAUCGAGGUAUUUGGGCAAUAUUUAUUAAGUUGAAAGAAAAAUAUUGGUGGAAGGGCAUGUAUAGGGAUGUGGCAGAUUUUGUAGGAUCUUGUGAAACUUACCAAAUAUAUUCAAAUAUUCGCCACCGAGAUGGUUUGCAUCUUACAUACCCAUUAGUAAUUCAUUAUAAAUGGGUGGUUGAUUUAGUUGUAAUGCCAAUGGGAUUUGGUUACAGGAAAUAUUUGGUACUUGCUUGGAAAGAGCACUUUCAACAAAGACUACGGAAAGAGUAUGUCGGUUUAUAUUAGAGGAAAUUAUUUGCCGGUAUGGAUGUAUUGGAAAAAUCUUUGCGGAUAGAAGAGAAUUGGAUGCAAAUGAAGCAUGAGAGUUCUUUGAAAAGAUGGAUAUUAAACUUGCAUUGACAACAGCAUAUAAUCCGGAAGGGAAUGGAAAGAGUGAACAUAGACAUUCUCCGAUUAUUAAAGCAUUGAUUAAAGCAUGCAAAGGCAAGAUAAGUGAUUGGCCUAAAUUAUUACCAUUUUCAUUAUGGAAAAAUCGAACAACUCAUAGUACGGUUACAGGAUACAUGCCAGCAGAAUUGAUGUAUGGUCAAAAACCGGUAAUACAGAUAGAAGAGAUUGUAUCAAAAUGGGCUAUAUUACCUUGAGAAGAUGGUUUAAUAAGAGAAGAGUUAUUGGCAUUAUGAAUUCGACAACUUGAAAGAAGGCCCGAGGACAUUGAAGUAGCUUUGAGAAAGUUGAAAGAAGCGAGAGAAAAAAAAACAAGGAGAGGUUUGAUAAAAAGCAUCAAUUGUGUCCCAAACCAAUUCAAAAUGGUGAUUAGAUGUUGGUUUAUGAUAGUAGUUUAAACAACCAACAUAGUACGGCAAAGAAAUUUGCAAGAAGAUGGUUUGGACCUUAUGUUGUCAACCAAGUGCACGAGAAUGGAACGUACUUGUUACGAGAACUGGAUGGUACAGAUUUAAAGAUACCAAUUGCUUAAUCAAAGAAGUAAAUACAUUUAUUUUGAUGAAGAAUAAAAUAUAAUAAAAGAUAUUGAGAUAGAAGAAAAACAACAAAAUGAAGAUCAAGAAUUUGACCAAGAUGAAGAACAUUUGAUAUCAAUAUAAUGAAGGAACUUGGUGCAUAUCAAAGAAUGCACAAGUUCAGAGAGGAAGAUGUCGUAAUAUAACAUGGCUAACAAGUGAAAGAAAGAAGAAAAUAUCAUGUUUUGAGGAUCUCACUUCAAAAAUAUUGUAACAAAUUAUCUUGGAAAAAUAAAUAUUAGUCAAAGGGUAGAAAAAUUAAAGGUGCUAAUGCUGCCUUUUUACAAAUUAUGCUUCUAUUUACUUUGUAAGGCCAUAAAUAAGACAAAAAAAGAUAGCUUAGAAAAAUAAAGGAUAUAAGCAUAUGUAGGGAGGAGUUAGGAGUUCAAAUUAGUAAAAAUUACCUCAAGAAGACAAAAGUUGAUACCCAAAGAGGACCGAUUAUAAACCUAGGUCGAAAUCAGAUUCCAAGGCACAAAACUGUGCUCUAAUAGCGACUAAAGGGUUCUUUGGGAGAUCGAAGAGCCAAAUUAGAGAGAAUACUUGUGGAGGGAUUUUUGAAAGGUGAUUUCGUGUCGUUUGGAUCAGUAUUGGAUUUUUGAGGGAUUUUCAAAGCGAGUGAUGUUCUCUAUGAAUUUAGAUCUUUGAGAAAUAAAACCGGUUUAAACUUUUUUGGAUUUCAUGUCUUUUGUAGCAUUUUUACAAGUGAAAAUUUAGAGACAUAUUGUUAUGCUUGUUGUAAAUGUGUGUAAGAGAUUUGAGGUCAAUCGAAUAGCUAGAUUGAUACAUAUGAAGGUUUUUGUGGGCUAAGGUCUUGGGAUUUAGGAUUUUGAAGACCAGUAAGGUUUUCUUAGAUAUCUACCAAUUUGUCAAUUGGAUUGGAGAGAUUUUUGGUUUUAUUAGUAAAAGACUAGAUUUUCUAUAUGCAAGUAAAAUUUAGAAGCAAUUUAAUAGUGGAAAAGGGAGAUAUCAACACUUGAAGUUGGCAUCAAGAUUGGAGAAGGAGAGACCAGCCGACAUUUGAGUGGAAUUUUGAGGUCAUCAACUAAUUGGUAAGUGCAAUUUUCUUUAAAAUUUGUAUGCUAGUUUUUAACUUAAACUCCAAGAAGUAUGAAAAUUCCAAAUAAGAAUCAACGGUUCAAUCUUUAGUUAUUUAAAUUUCAAAUCUGUGAUUAGGAUUUAGUUUGGGUUAGGAUUUGAUUACGGUUUAGAAUUAGGAUUUGUUAGGGUUAGGAUAUGGUUUAGAAUUUUUUAGGGUUAGGAUAUGAUUUAGGAUUUAAUUUAGGAUUUAGAAUUUAGGGUUUGGAGUUUAGUUUAGGAUUUGAUUUAGGGUUUAGAAUUUGGAUUAGGAUUUAGAUUAGGGUUUAGGAUUUGAUUUAGGAUUUGGGGUUUGGAUUAGGGUUUAGAUUAGGAUUUAGGAUUUGAUUUAGGAUUUUGUUAGGAAUUGGUUUAAGGUUUAAGACUUAAUUAAGGUUUAUUAGGAUUUAGAAUAAGAUUUAGGAUUUAUCUAGGGUUUGAUUAAAGUUGGAUUAGGAUUAGGGAUUGGUUAGAAUUUAAGGUUUUAUUAGAUUUUUGUUAAGGUUUGACUAUGUUUUAUUUAAUAUUCUUUUAUAUUUCUUGAGGAUUUCUUUGUGUUUCUUUUAUAACUUCAAUAACAUUUAAUUGAGCUUGCUUAAUGUUUGAUUAUGAUUGUUAACGUUUAAUUUUAAAUUUUUUAUAAUCCUAUUGGAUUGUUAGGACCUUUUGUUGCAAUUUUCUUUUAUCUUCCACAGCCAGGU